Molecule: ribosomal RNA, 441 nt
Filed under: uncultured bacterium
Lineage: Bacteria
Description: partial 16S ribosomal RNA
Rfam family: Bacterial small subunit ribosomal RNA
Source: RNAcentral
CCUACGGGAGGCAGCAGUGGGGAAUAUUGCACAUUGGGGGAAACCCUGAUGCAGCAACGCCGCGUGGGUGAAGGAGCGUUUCUGUGCGUAAAGCCCUGUCAGCGGGGAAGAAGAACGCCGCUCCCCGACCACUACGCCCCGGCUAACUACGUGCCAGCAGCCGCGGUCAUACGUAGGGGGCGAGCGUUAUCCGGAAUUCCUGGGUGUAAAGGGAGCGUAGACGGCGAGGUAAGCCUGAAGUGGAAGCCCGCGGCCCAACCGCGGAACUGCUUUGGGAACUGGUUGGCUGGAGUAUGGGAGGGGUAAGCGGAAUUCCUGGUGUAGCGGUGAAAUGCGUAGAUAUCAGGAGGAACACCGGUGGCGAAGGCGGCUUACUGGACCAUAACUGACGUUGAGGCUCGAAAGCGUGGGGAGCGAACAGGAUUAGAUACCCUUGUAGUC